RNAcentral lists this ribosomal RNA (292 nucleotides) under uncultured bacterium. RNAcentral's name for it is "partial 16S ribosomal RNA". It matches the Rfam family "Bacterial small subunit ribosomal RNA", at positions 505 to 796 of the family's 1533-position model. The record is from RNAcentral.
GUGUCAGCAGCCGCGGUAAGACGAACCGUGCGAACGUUAUUCGGAAUCACUGGGCUUAAAGGGUGCGUAGGCGGUCUGUCAAGUCAGGGGUGAAAUCCUUCGGCUCAACCGGAGAACAGCCCCUGAUACUGACGGGCUCGAGGGAGAUAGAGGCAGCCGGAACUACCGGUGGAGCGGUGAAAUGCGUUGAUAUCGGUAGGAACGCCAGAGGCGUAAGCGGGCUGCUGGAUCUCUUCUGACGCUGAGGCACGAAAGCUAGGGGAGCAAACGGGAUUAGAAACCCGGGUAGUCC